ACUGCUUUUCUUUGAAAUCCCCAAAUUGUGGAGCCCGCCGGUCAAUGACUUGCGGGUUUUUUUAU
This 65-nucleotide small RNA is filed under the name Pantoea sp. GM01. RNAcentral's name for it is "RybB RNA". It matches the Rfam family "RybB RNA". Rfam says of the family: This ncRNA was identified in a large scale screen of E. coli. Lineage: Bacteria; Pseudomonadati; Pseudomonadota; Gammaproteobacteria; Enterobacterales; Erwiniaceae. The record is from RNAcentral.